This 499-nucleotide ribosomal RNA is filed under the name uncultured Bacteroidota bacterium. RNAcentral's name for it is "bacterial SSU rRNA". It matches the Rfam family "Bacterial small subunit ribosomal RNA", at positions 8 to 499 of the family's 1533-position model. Lineage: Bacteria; Pseudomonadati; Bacteroidota. The record is from RNAcentral.
AGGCUUUGAUCCUGGCUCAGGAUGAACGCUAGCGGCAGGCUUAAUACAUGCAAGUCGAACGGCAGCGGGUUGUAGCAAUACAUGCCGGCGAGUGGCGCACGGGUGCGUAACACGUAUGCAACCUACCCUUUACUGGGGCAUAACCCUGAGAAAUCGGGGCUAAUUCUCCAUAGUAUCUUUGAAUGGCAUCAUUUGAAGAUUAAAGUUUCGGCGGUAAAGGAUGGGCAUGCGUCCCAUUAGCUAGUUGGUAAGGUAACGGCUUACCAAGGCGAUGAUGGGUAGGGGUCCUGAGAGGGUUAUCCCCCACACUGGUACUGAGACACGGACCAGACUCCUACGGGAGGCAGCAGUAAGGAAUAUUGGGCAAUGGGCGAGAGCCUGACCCAGCCAUGCCGCGUGCAGGAAGACGGCCCUAUGGGUUGUAAACUGCUUUUAUACGGGAAUAAUAGCAUCUACGUGUAGGAUGUAGUCAAGUACCGUUUAGAAUAAGCAUCGGCGU